GCCCCCCACUCAACGGGGGGUAAACGGCGGUCCUACUCUGAGGAUCCUAAGGUAGCAUAAUAAGUUGGCGUUUAAUUGGCGUCUUGUAUGAAGGGGCACACGUGGGAACGACUGUCUCAUGUUUAACUAUUGAAACUAACCUGUAAGUGAAAAGGCUUGCAUGUGUAAGAGGGACGACAAGACCCUACGAAGCUUUACGGUCACUUUCGAUAGUAAAAAAUAGCGGUAGUGAAGUUUUGUUGGGGCAACAGGGGGGAAAUGUACCAUUCGAUUUCAUCCUAGUAUCAUGUCUGGAUUGGUGUAUUCUUUGUCUUACGUGAAGUAGCCACUAUUUUAGUGAAAACGAUUAAGUUACUCUAGGGAUAACAGCACAAUACCCUCAUAGAGUCCUUAUCGACGAGGGUGCUUGUGACCUCGAUGUCGGCUUAGCGUAACCUCCAGGCGGAGCAGCUUGG
Molecule: ribosomal RNA, 455 nt
Filed under: Botula sp. UF 400748
Lineage: Eukaryota; Metazoa; Mollusca; Bivalvia; Mytilida; Modiolidae
Description: partial large subunit ribosomal RNA
Rfam family: Bacterial large subunit ribosomal RNA
Source: RNAcentral